Molecule: long non-coding RNA, 1063 nt
Organism: Malaya genurostris
Lineage: Eukaryota; Metazoa; Arthropoda; Insecta; Diptera; Culicidae
Exons: 3
Source: RefSeq, a predicted model, not a curated record
GGCCGUGUGCCGAGACGUUCCGGAAAAUUGCCUCCAAUCUGGGUCCCGUUUUUCUUUCCGGCUGUUGUCAAUAUUCAUGCGCGGUAUACAUUUCACGGCGCACAGUAAAUUACUUUUUGCCUCCGAGUCAACCACCACUUCCAAUUAGAACAAGCGUCUAAUAUAAUUACAAAAAAUGCACCUUGUAAUGGGAAAACUAGCUGCUGCACAAGAAGAGGAAACAACAAGAAAGCUAACCACACAAAAUCAGACUUAGUUGGAAUUCCCCAGACGGGAACCAGACACACGAAAAUUUGAAGCAAAGCGUAGAAGUAACCGAGAUAUUUAUCAGAGCCAUCAGCGAGACGCUCGGAAAGAAGAACGAUCAUCGGACUCAAAUCUCCACAACACUGUCAUUAUCACCUACACAUCGUGUCACGUGUUGCGGGAACAGCUGGGAAGUUCUAUUUCUUUAUUCCAUGUAGCCGCGAGAAGAUUUGUGCUAGUUUUGGUAAUUUAGCACAAUUUGCAGUUUAUUUAGCACGUUGGUUCACGAGCAAACCGGAUGACAAGAUGAAAGUCACGAAUGGAUCAUUUGUGUGACACACUUCGUCUUCUAGUUUAGAAUAGCGGCCCAUACACGAGUCAUUAAAAAUGUUAUUACUAAAAAAUAAUAUCAUUUUAAUGAACGUGUAUGGUGCAGUAAUGACGAAUUUUCUAUAAAAUUUGAAAAUACAUCAUUACUUAGUCAUCAUUAAAAAUAGCAAAAAUAAUCCUCGUGUAAGGGCCGCUCAUGAAAUAUUUCGACAGUCCCACGACAAAAAGGCCUAACUGCAAAUGAGAGCCUUUCUUUGUUUACUUUCUCUUCUGAUUAUUACGGAGCCAUUACUGCAAAUUCUUGAAAGUUUUCAAUAUCAAUUGAAAGCUUGUAGUUUCAACUUGAAAGUUUGGCGAAGAGUAUGUCGUCAAAUAUAAAAUCAAUUCGGUAAAUCGCGAAAGAAAAAAUAAACAAAGAGAAACUGUCAUUUGCAGUUAGGCCUUUUUGUCGUGGGACUGUCGAUUUGUCGAUAAAUGCGAAACCAUA